RNAcentral lists this ribosomal RNA (253 nucleotides) under uncultured bacterium. Its description in RNAcentral is "partial 16S ribosomal RNA". It matches the Rfam family "Bacterial small subunit ribosomal RNA", at positions 524 to 776 of the family's 1533-position model. The record is from RNAcentral.
UACGGAGGGGGCGAGCGUUAUUCGGAAUUAUUGGGCGUAAAGGGCGCGUAGGCGGCUUGACAAGUCAAAGGUGAAAUCCCUCGGCUCAACUGAGGAACUGCCUUUGAAACUGUCUGGCUUGAGGCCGGGAGGGGGUAGCGGAAUUCCCAGUGUAGCGGUGAAAUGCGUAGAUAUUGGGAGGAACACCAGUGGCGAAGGCGGCUACCUGGACCGGUACUGACGCUGAGACGCGAAAGCGUGGGGAGCAAACAGG